Molecule: ribosomal RNA, 459 nt
Filed under: uncultured bacterium
Lineage: Bacteria
Description: bacterial SSU rRNA
Rfam family: Bacterial small subunit ribosomal RNA
Source: RNAcentral
UUACGGGAGGCAGCAGUGAGGAAUAUUGGACAAUGGAUGGAAAUCUGAUCCAGCCAUGCCGCGUGCAGGAAGGCGGCCCUAUGGGUUGUAAACUGCUUUUGUACGGGAGCAGUAAGGUCUACGAGUAGAUUGAUGAGAGUACUGUACGAAUAAGCAUCGGCUAACUCCGUGCCAGCAGCCGCGGUAAUACGGAGGAUGCGAGCGUUAUCCGGAUUUAUUGGGUUUAAAGGGUGCGUAGGCUGUUAUUCAAGUCAGUGGUAAAAGGUACAGGCUUAACUUGUAUGCGCCAUUGAUACUGAAUAGCUAGGAUAUGGAUGAAGUGUGCGGAAUGUGUGGUGUAGCGGUGAAAUGCAUAGAUAUCACACAGAACACCGAUAGCGAAGGCAGCACACUAAGGCAAUAUUGACGCUGAGGCACGAAAGUGUGGGGAUCAAACAGGAUUAGAAACCCGAGUAGUCC